GGAUGUCUGGCUGGACGGCGAGCUAUACCGGCUGGCGCCCGGCGACGGUGUCGGUUUCAAACCCGGCGAUGGCCU
This 75-nucleotide transfer RNA is filed under the name Chitinimonas prasina. RNAcentral's name for it is "tRNA-Ala". The record is from RNAcentral. Lineage: Bacteria; Pseudomonadati; Pseudomonadota; Betaproteobacteria; Neisseriales; Chitinibacteraceae.